This 83-nucleotide transfer RNA is filed under the name Deltaproteobacteria bacterium. RNAcentral describes it as "tRNA-Leu". It matches the Rfam family "tRNA". Rfam says of the family: Transfer RNA (tRNA) molecules are approximately 80 nucleotides in length. Their secondary structure includes four short double-helical elements and three loops (D, anti-codon, and T loops). The record is from RNAcentral. Lineage: Bacteria; Pseudomonadati; Myxococcota; Myxococcia.
GCGAGGAUGGCGGAAUUGGCAGACGCACUAGCUUGAGGUGCUAGCGAGUAACAUCCGUGGGGGUUCAAGUCCCCCUCCUCGCA